Molecule: ribosomal RNA, 467 nt
Filed under: uncultured bacterium
Lineage: Bacteria
Description: bacterial SSU rRNA
Rfam family: Bacterial small subunit ribosomal RNA
Source: RNAcentral
UGCCAGACUCCUACGGGAGGCAGCAGUGAGGAAUAUUGGUCAAUGGGCGCAAGCCUGAACCAGCCAAGUCGCGUGAGGGAAGACGGCCCUACGGGUUGUAAACCUCUUUUGCCGGGGAGCAAGCCUGAGCACGUGUGCCCAGGCGGAGAGUACCCGGAGAAAAAGCAUCGGCUAACUCCGUGCCAGCAGCCGCGGUAAUACGGAAGGUCCGGGCGUUAUCCGGAUUUAUUGGGUUUAAAGGGAGCGUAGGCCGGUCUUUAAGCGUGCCGUGAAAUUUUGGGGCUCAACCAUGAGAGUGCGGCGCGAACUGGAGACCUUGAGUGCGCGGAAGGCAGGCGGAAUUCGUGGUGUAGCGGUGAAAUGCUUAGAUAUCACGAAGAACCCCGAUUGCGAAGGCAGCCUGCCGCAGCGUUACUGACGCUGAAGCUCGAAAGCGCGGGUAUCGAACAGGAUUAGAUACCCGAGUA